Molecule: transfer RNA, 75 nt
Filed under: Betaproteobacteria bacterium
Lineage: Bacteria; Pseudomonadati; Pseudomonadota; Betaproteobacteria
Also listed under: 3 other names
Description: tRNA-Val
Rfam family: tRNA
About the family: Transfer RNA (tRNA) molecules are approximately 80 nucleotides in length. Their secondary structure includes four short double-helical elements and three loops (D, anti-codon, and T loops).
Source: RNAcentral
GGGCGGUUAGCUCAGCGGUAGAGCACAUCCCUCACACGGAUGGGGCCACUGGUUCGAUCCCAGUAUCGCCCACCA